This 2145-nucleotide ribosomal RNA is filed under the name Clostridium botulinum. RNAcentral's name for it is "partial 23S ribosomal RNA". It matches the Rfam family "Bacterial large subunit ribosomal RNA", at positions 1 to 2161 of the family's 2925-position model. Lineage: Bacteria; Bacillati; Bacillota; Clostridia; Eubacteriales; Clostridiaceae. The record is from RNAcentral.
AAUUUUAAGGUCAAGCUACAAAGGGCGCAUGGUGAAUGCCUUGGCACUAGGAGCCGAAGAAGGACGCGAUAAGCUGCGAUAAGCCUUGGGUAGCCGCAAAUAGGCUGAGAUCCAGGGAUUUCCGAAUGAGGAAACUCACAUGGGUAACCCCAUGUAUCAUGCACUGAAUACAUAGGUGUAUGAGGGUAAACCCGGGGAACUGAAACAUCUAAGUACCCGGAGGAAGAGAAAGAAAAAUCGAUUUCCUAAGUAGCGGCGAGCGAACGGGAAAGAGCCCAAACCAGAAACUUGUUUCUGGGGUUGUGGAUAGAUCAUAAAAGAAGAGGUAUCUUAAUCGAAGAGGGCUGGAACGCCCUACCAUAGAAGGUAAUAGUCCUGUAGAUAAAAAGAGAAAACUUCGAGAUCUAAUCCAGAGUACCACGAGACACGUGAAACCUUGUGGGAAGCAGGGAGGACCACCUCCCAAGGCUAAAUACUACCUAGUGACCGAUAGUGAAGCAGUACCGUGAGGGAAAGGUGAAAAGAACCCCGGAAGGGGAGUGAAAUAGAACCUGAAACCGUGUGCCUACAACCGAUCGGAGCACGUUAAAGUGUGACGAUGUGCUUUUUGUAGAACGAGCCAGCGAGUUACGCUAUGUAGCAAGGUUAAGUACUUAAGGUAUGGAGCCGAAGGGAAACCGAGUCUGAAAAGGGCGAAAAGUUGCAUGGUGUAGACCCGAAACCGGGUGACCUAUCCAUGGCCAGGUUGAAGCGAGAGUAAAAUCUCGUGGAGGACCGAACCACGUUGGUGUUGAAAAACCAUGGGAUGAGCUGUGGAUAGCGGAGAAAUUCCAAUCGAACUCGGAGAUAGCUGGUUCUCCUCGAAAUAGCUUUAGGGCUAGCGUCGUGUAAUUGAGUAAUGGAGGUAGAGCACUGAAUGGGCUAGGGGCUAUAGUAGUUACCGAACCCUAUCAAACUCCGAAUGCCAUAUACUUGUAUCACGGCAGUCAGACUGCGAAUGAUAAGAUCCGUAGUCAAAAGGGAAACAGCCCAGACCAUCAGCUAAGGUCCCAAAGUGUAAGUUAAGUGGAAAAGGAUGUGGGAUUUCUAAGACAACUAGGAUGUUGGCUUAGAAGCAGCCACUCAUUUAAAGAGUGCGUAAUAGCUCACUAGUCAAGAGAUCCUGCGCCGAAGAUGUCCGGGGCUCAAACUUACCACCGAAGCUAUGGGUGUACACUAUGUGUACGCGGUAGAGGAGCUUUCUGUAUGGGUUGAAGUCGUACCGUAAGGAGCGGUGGACUGUACAGAAGUGAGAAUGCUGGCAUAAGUAGCGAGAAAUAAGUGAGAAUCUUAUUGGCCGAAAACCUAAGGUUUCCUGAGGAAGGUUCGUCCGCUCAGGGUUAGUCGGGACCUAAGCCGAGGCCGAAAGGCGUAGGUGAUGGACAAUCGGUUGAUAUUCCGAUACCACCUAUUUACGUUUGAGAAAUGGGGUGACGCAGUAGGAUAAGAUGUGCGCACUAUUGGAUGUGCGUCUAAGCACUUAGGCAUGCUUGAUAGGCAAAUCCGUCGAGCUAAGCUGAGGUGUGAUGGGGAGCCAUUUAUGGCGAAGUAUCUGAUUCCACACUGCCAAGAAAAGCCUCUAUCGAGUGAAUAGGUGCCCGUACCGCAAACCGACACAGGUAGGUGAGGAGAGAAUCCUAAGGCCAUCGGAAGAAUUGCUGUUAAGGAACUCGGCAAAUUGACCCCGUAACUUCGGGAGAAGGGGUGCCUACGAAAGUAGGCCGCAGAGAAUAGGCCCAAGCAACUGUUUAGCAAAAACACAGGUCUCUGCUAAAGCGAAAGCUGAUGUAUAGGGGCUGACGCCUGCCCGGUGCUGGAAGGUUAAGGGGAACACUUAGCGUAAGCGAAGGUGUGAACUUAAGCCCCAGUAAACGGCGGCCGUAACUAUAACGGUCCUAAGGUAGCGAAAUUCCUUGUCGGGUAAGUUCCGACCCGCACGAAUGGCGUAAUGAUUUGGGCACUGUCUCAACAGCAAAUCCGGCGAAAUUGUAGUGCAAGUGAAGAUGCUUGCUACCCGCGAUUGGACGGAAAGACCCCGUAGAGCUUUACUGUAGCUUAGCAUUGAAUCUCGGUAUUGUCUGUACAGGAUAGGUGGGAGACUUGGAA